Molecule: unclassified non-coding RNA, 448 nt
Filed under: Hevea brasiliensis (rubber tree)
Lineage: Eukaryota; Viridiplantae; Streptophyta; Magnoliopsida; Malpighiales; Euphorbiaceae
Source: RNAcentral
CAAAGUCUGUUCCCUGGAGAUCAGAGCUUUCAAAGACGGAUAUUUGGCAUGCCACUUUUGGAUUGAAUAUGUGGAAAAGAAGGUUCCUUUGCUAUAUUCAAGGUGGUCAGGUGGAUGGUAUGGGGAAGCGAUGCUCUGGUUCAAUGGAUAAAAACCCUCCAAAAGAGAUUUUGUGGAAAACUUUCUCCCACAGAUUGUUCUUUGGCCAUGAAUCCACACGUACAUGGGGAAGUGGAGGGGUUGCUUUCCUUCAUCCUGAAAGUAGUGUUGAUGAAAACACUUACAUGUGCAUGUACCAAAUAACGCUGGAACAAUUCAAUGAUGUUUUGUUUCAAGAAAAUGUUUCAAGUAAUGAGAUGGAUUCUCCAGCGUUUGAUUUGGCAGAUCUACAGUCCGUCACAAACCAAGGUUCUGUUUCUUUGGAGGUUUUUAAGAAGGGGUGGUACCA